AUGAGCGAGAGCGAGGGCAGCUCGACGACCUCCGUGAUGGAUGACGAGGACCUCCUGUGGGAGAUCCUCCUCCGCCUCCCGCCACAACCGUCUUCCCUCCCGCGCGCCUCCGCGGUCUGCAAGCGAUGGCGGCGCAUGGCCAUAGACCCCAGCUUCCUCCGCAGCUUCUACGCACACCACCGGAAACCGCCCCUCCUAGGCUUCUUCGAGUACCAACGUGACAAUAUUGUCUUCACCUCCAUCCUUGAUGCUCCCGAUCGCAUCCCUCAUGAGCGUUUUAACAUCGGACGCUGUAUCACCUCCUCAGAGGGCUAUGUACUUGGCUGCCGCCAUGGUCGCGUCCUCGUGAUUGAUCAUGUGUGUACAGAGCUCAUUGUGUGCACCCCUAUCACUGGCGAGCAGCGCCGCUUGGCCGUUCCUCCCGAGUUUAAAACAGUCCUCCGUACUUCCAUCAACGGGGCGGUUCUCUGCACUGCCAACGACCAGGGCCAUGUGCACGGCGGCUGUCACUCCAGCCCCUUUAAGGUGGUCUUGGUGAUCAUGUAUAGAGACAAUCAGCAAUCCCUCGCAUGUGUCUACUCCUCGCAGACCAAUGCAUGGGGCAACCUCAUCUCAACAGCUGCCCCAUGUCGGCUUUUUAUUGCUCAUAGACCUGGGUCACUUAUUGGUAAUGCAUUCUACUGGUUGACUACGAGGAAUGACAUGCUUGUGUUUGAUUUGGUGGAGCAAAGUCUAGCUGUGCUCAGUGGGCCACCGGUUAAAAAUUGUUUCCUCCAUAGUCAGAUCAUCCAAGUUGAGGAUGGCGUUGUUGGCUUUGUCGUAUUAUCUUAUCCGCACUUUCAAAUAUGGCAGAGGAAAAUCAAUGAUCAUGGUGUUGCCACAUGGAUGGAGUGGAAGACCAUUGAAAUGCAUAAUAUUCUUGCGCUCCCUCCUCAGAUUGUCAGAGGCGCGGAAACCAUACUAGGAUAUUCAGAGGAUGCUGAUGUGUUUUUUAUAUAUGUGGAUGUCAAGUUCUAUAUGGUUCAAUUUAGGUCAAUGCAAUCCAAGAUAAUUCAUGAAGCAUAUUAUAUCACUGACUACCAUCCUUUCACAGGGUUUUAUUCACCAGGUAACUUUUCAUACUCAAUAUUUCUAUUGUAG
RNAcentral lists this ribosomal RNA (1140 nucleotides) under Triticum aestivum (bread wheat). Its description in RNAcentral is "partial small subunit ribosomal RNA". Lineage: Eukaryota; Viridiplantae; Streptophyta; Magnoliopsida; Poales; Poaceae. The record is from RNAcentral.